CCAGGUCUUGGGGCCACUUCUGCCCAUCUUGGGGGCACAUCUGACCAGGUCCUGGGGGCACAUCCGACCAGGUCCUGGGGGCACAUCCGCCCGUCUUGGGGCACAUCCGACCUGGUCCUGGGGGCACAUCCGACCAGGUCCUGGGGGCACAUCCGACCAGGUCCUGGGGGCACAUCCGCCCGUCUUGGGGCACAUCCGACCAGGUCCUGGGGGCACAUCCGACCAGGUCCUGGGGGCACAUCCGCCCGUCUUGGGGCACAUCCGACCAGGUCCUGGGGGCACAUCCGACCAGGUCCUGGGGGCACAUCCGCCCGUCUUGGGGCACAUCCGCCCGUCUUGGGGCACAUCCGCCCGUCUUGGGGGCACAUCCCGGCGGCGCCCAGGGGUCAGCCCCGCCCCCCCGUCGUCAGCUUUCCCCUCCUCCCUCACCCCCCCCCCCCCCGCCCCCCCGGGCGCCCACUCCCCUCCCCCUCUGCCCCGCCUUCCCGCGAUAGCCCCGCCCCCCCGUCGUCAGCUUUCCCCUCCUCCCUCACCCCCCCCCCCCCGCCCCCGACAGCGGCUGGACGUGAGGCGGGGGGCGCGGUCCCCGGGGUCGUCUUGCUGAGGGUCGUGCCUCGCCGAGCGCCGGGGAUGAUGCUGGAGAGAAGCGGCGCGACCCCGCGGCCCGGCCCACGCGCUGGUACCUGCUUCCCGGGCCGCUCCCAGAGGCUGCGCCGUGGGAGCCGCGGCAGCACGUGGCGCCUCAGGAACGUGAAGGUUCUGGAAGGCUCUGGAAGGUUCUCGCGCGCCACGGGAGGCCGCCUUCGACAGGCCGCGCCGCCCGGAGGCGGGUUCACAAAGGGAGCUCGGCCGAACCCUCUCACAGGCUCGCGUGCCGGGCCGGCCGCCCUCGCCGCCCGCUACGCGCCCCUCGGCUUCGCGCCCGCGCGCCCUCCAGGCGCCCGUCAGUCACUCUGCCUCUCGUGCGCGCGCGCGCGCCCGCCUGCCCGCCCGGCUCCUGUCCGUCAACCGCGCGCUCCCGCCCAGCCAGGCGGAAGGGGCGGGGCCCGGGGCGGGUGCGUGCGCCCCAUUGGUCGGCGGCGGGGGUGGAGCUUGGCGGCGCCGCCAGGCCGGCCCCGCCCCCCGGCCCGCGGGGAGCGGCGGCUGCGGCGGCGGAGGCGGUGAGCGCGGGCUCGGGUGGGGAGGCUCGGGUGCCGACGCCGUUGGGCCGCCACGGCCUCCUCGCUCUCCGCUCGGGGCUCGGGGCCACCGCGCUGGGGAGGCCGGCCGCCCGGUGAGCCCCGCGGCCCGCGGUUGGCGGGCGGGGGCUGAGGCGGCCGGGCCGGGCCUGCGGGGGGAGGAGCGAACCCCCAAAGGAGGCCCUCCCCGGGGCGUUGAGCGCGGGGGGAGGGGGCCGCCGCUUUCGCCCCUUCCUCUGUCCACCGCGGCCCCUCGUCGGCUGCGUGCGCCCCCGUCCCUCCCCGGGUCCCCGUCUGCAACCGCCUUCGCCCGCCGCCUGCGCCCCUCUGUGCGCGAACGAGCCCCCCUCUGCUCUCCGUGCGUAGCCAGGCCUGUGUGUCCCCUGCGGUGACGAGCGGCCCGCAGCUGUCCCCGUCCUUCCAGGGCCAGAGCAGGCGAAAAGAGCGGCCGUUUCCUCCCAUUUUAUUUUUUUUGCAACUGGGGGCAACUGUUCACUCCCCAAACGGGGGAGGGUUGUAAGCUUUGUUUAAAUCGCUUUCCGUGCGAAGGUGGGAGGCAGGCCUUCAGCACGCAGAAGAGUUGCUCGGGAGCCUCUUAGGCGGGAGCCAGACAGACCCUGGGGGUGGGGGGCGGCGGCUGCAUUUGAUUUCCAAGGGAAGGGCGGGCGCCUCCCCGGGUCCCCAGGCCAGCCGUUUCUUCUUGACGCUGAGCAUCUCCGCGCAAGAUUACAGGAGUGACCCUCUUAAGCCCCAGUGACCCUUGCCCUUGAGGGUCCCGUCUGUGCUAACGUGGCCAGCUAUCGCUUCAUGAACCA
Molecule: long non-coding RNA, 1993 nt
Filed under: Felis catus (domestic cat)
Lineage: Eukaryota; Metazoa; Chordata; Mammalia; Carnivora; Felidae
Description: lncRNA (ENSFCAG00000053712.1)
Source: RNAcentral